Molecule: ribosomal RNA, 262 nt
Filed under: uncultured prokaryote
Description: partial 16S ribosomal RNA
Rfam family: Bacterial small subunit ribosomal RNA
Source: RNAcentral
UACGGAGGAUCCGAGCGUUAUCCGGAUUUAUUGGGUUUAAAGGGUGCGCAGGCGGAAGAUUAAGUCGGUGGUGAAAUUUUGCAGCUCAACUGUAAAAGUGCCAUUGAUACUGGUUUUCUUGAGUGUGGAUGAAGUAGGCGGAAUUUGUGGUGUAGCGGUGAAAUGCAUAGAUAUCACGAGGAACUCCGAUUGCGCAGGCAGCUUACUAAACCAUAACUGACGCUCAGGCACGAAGGCGUGGGGAGUCAAACAGGAUUAGAUA